This 82-nucleotide transfer RNA is filed under the name Rhipicephalus microplus (southern cattle tick). RNAcentral describes it as "tRNA-Ser". It matches the Rfam family "tRNA". From Rfam's summary of the family: Transfer RNA (tRNA) molecules are approximately 80 nucleotides in length. The record is from Rfam by way of RNAcentral. Lineage: Eukaryota; Metazoa; Arthropoda; Arachnida; Ixodida; Ixodidae.
GGCGACGUGGCCGAGUGGUUAAGGCGAUGGACUGCUAAUCCAUUUGGCUGUGCCCGCAUGGGUUCGAGUCCCACCCUCGUCG